This 561-nucleotide ribosomal RNA is filed under the name uncultured archaeon. Its description in RNAcentral is "bacterial SSU rRNA". It matches the Rfam family "Archaeal small subunit ribosomal RNA", at positions 59 to 621 of the family's 1478-position model. The record is from RNAcentral.
CGAACGAACUUUACGUUAGUGGCACACUGCUCAGUAACACGUAGCUAACCUAACCUUAGGACGAGGACAACCCCGAGAAAUUGGGGCUAAUCCGCGAUAGGUGUGAUGUCCUGGAAUGGUAUUACGCCCAAAGGUGUUCGCACGCCUAAGGAUGGGGCUGCGGCCGAUCAGGCAGUUGGUGAGGUAAAGGCUCACCAAACCUUUGACCGGUACGGGCCAUGAGAGUGGUAGCCCGGAGAUGGACACUGAGACAAGGGUCCAGGCCCUACGGGGCGCAGCAGGCGCUAAACCUCCUCAAUGCACUCACGUGCGAAGGGGUUACCUCGAGUGCCGUCUGAAGAAGGCGGCUUUUCCAUGGUCUAAAAAGCCUAAGGAAUAAGAGGGGGGCAAGACUGGUGUCAGCCGCCGCGGUAACACCAGCCCCUCGAGUGGUGGGGAUGAUUAUUUGGCCUAAAGCGUCCGUAGCCGGCCGGGUAAGUCUCCCGUUAAAUCCAGCGUCUCAAGCGUUGGACUGCGGGAGAUACUGUCUGGCUAGAGAGUGGGAGAGGUGUACGGUAUUCU